CCGCCGGGGGUCUCCCCGGCGGCACCGCACUGAGCCGGUACCUGGUACGGCCGGCUCAG
Molecule: non-coding RNA, 59 nt
Filed under: Streptomyces avicenniae
Lineage: Bacteria; Bacillati; Actinomycetota; Actinomycetes; Kitasatosporales; Streptomycetaceae
Description: L17-Actino-Proteobacteria ribosomal protein leader
Rfam family: L17-Actino-Proteobacteria ribosomal protein leader
Source: RNAcentral